UUUUGAACUCAACGCGAAGAUUCUGGAUGAAUUGCUCCAACAGCAACUGUUGGAAACGACAAAAAAAUUUGAAUGGGCCAAUAAAUGAACCAAUUGUAUCAAUAAAUUGGUUAAUUUUCAUCCUAUUUGUCUUUUUGUAUUUGAAAUUAUUUAAUUACAAAGCAAAAAAUCCUGGAAACAGAGAAAUGGGGAAGUGAAAAAUUGGAGUAAACGUUUCUCAUUGGUCAAUUGAAGUGUAGCGCGCGACAGUCGAAUAAGCUCUGUGAAAGCGGCUGUCCCUUAAUGCAUGGUACAUUUGCGUUAAAUUCGACAUUUGAUUCAACAUGGCGGUUGACGUGGCAGGUUCGCGUGUGUAAUGCAUGGUGUGUUGGUGUUAUUAUCAAAGUAUAAUUCUGUCACGUUCAGUGUACCAUUUAUAAUUUGGGGUUGUUCAAUUUGCAGUACAGCGAAUAGUUUGAUUUUGAAUAUUCAAACAGGAGAGUUGCAUAUAUUCAGUCUUCAAGAAAAGUUCGAGGAGAGUUGGUGUGUGGGAUUUGUUGGUUUGACUAAGUACAUGUUUGAACUAGAGUGAUUUCAGUUGUGUAUCUUCAAUAGAGAAAAAUAGUAUCAAUUUGCCCAAAAGGAAACAGAGUGGUACCUGGUACAGGCAGGUGCGCCAAGGAACUGAAAACGUAAUGAGUACUUUUCAACAAGACAGUGCAAGUUGCUCUCCAAGUCAUAAAAUGUUGUAAAUGUUCAUGAGUAACCUAUGCGAAAAAUAUCUA
This 764-nucleotide long non-coding RNA is filed under the name Leptinotarsa decemlineata (Colorado potato beetle). Its description in RNAcentral is "uncharacterized LOC111503435". Lineage: Eukaryota; Metazoa; Arthropoda; Insecta; Coleoptera; Chrysomelidae. The record is from RNAcentral.